This 581-nucleotide ribosomal RNA is filed under the name uncultured bacterium. RNAcentral's name for it is "bacterial SSU rRNA". It matches the Rfam family "Bacterial small subunit ribosomal RNA", at positions 102 to 694 of the family's 1533-position model. The record is from RNAcentral.
ACGGGUGAGUAACACGUGAGUAACCUGCCCUUGACUCUGGGAUAAGCCUGGGAAACUGGGUCUAAUACCGGAUACGACCAUCUGGCGCAUGUCAUGGUGGUGGAAAGCUUUUGUGGUUUUGGAUGGACUCGCGGCCUAUCAGCUUGUUGGUGGGGUAAUGGCCUACCAAGGCGACGACGGGUAGCCGGCCUGAGAGGGUGACCGGCCACACUGGGACUGAGACACGGCCCAGACUCCUACGGGAGGCAGCAGUGGGGAAUAUUGCACAAUGGGCGCAAGCCUGAUGCAGCGACGCCGCGUGAGGGAUGACGGCCUUCGGGUUGUAAACCUCUUUCAGUAGGGAAGAAGCCGUGAGGUGACGGUACCUGCAGAAGAAGCGCCGGCUAACUACGUGCCAGCAGCCGCGGUAAUACGUAGGGCGCAAGCGUUAUCCGGAAUUAUUGGGCGUAAAGAGCUCGUAGGCGGUUUGUCGCGUCUGCUGUGAAAGACCGGGGCUCAACUCCGGUUCUGCAGUGGGUACGGGCAGACUAGAGUGCAGUAGGGGAGACUGGAAUUCCUGGUGUAGCGGUGAAAUGCGCAGA